CCUACGGGAGGCAGCAGCUAAGAAUAUUCCGCAAUGGACGAAAGUCUGACGGAGCGACGCCGCGUGGAUGAGGAAGGCCGAAAGGUUGUAAAAUCCUUUUGCUGGGGAAGAAUAACCAUGGGAAGAAAUGCCCGUGGGAUGACAUGAACCGGCGAAUAAGCCCCGGCUAACUACGUGCCAGCAGCCGCGGUAAU
RNAcentral lists this ribosomal RNA (194 nucleotides) under uncultured bacterium. RNAcentral describes it as "partial 16S ribosomal RNA". It matches the Rfam family "Bacterial small subunit ribosomal RNA", at positions 338 to 524 of the family's 1533-position model. The record is from RNAcentral.